AGAAAUUUAGGUUAAACAGACCAAGAGCCUUCAAAGCCCUAAGCAAGUGUCCUCACUUAAUUUCUG
RNAcentral lists this transfer RNA (66 nucleotides) under Galeopterus variegatus (Sunda flying lemur). Its description in RNAcentral is "tRNA-Trp". The record is from RNAcentral. Lineage: Eukaryota; Metazoa; Chordata; Mammalia; Dermoptera; Cynocephalidae.